UGUAUUCCUAGUUUCUUUUACAAUAUACUUCAGGAGUUUUAUUCCAUAAUUUGAGUGCCAAUUAAAAGUAAUUGUACCCCGAAUCCAAGCCAACUCGAUAGACCACUAAUUGUGACAUUAUUGCUGCCAAAAACAUUCCCCAAGAAAAAACACAUACUGCAACCUAAAGCAACACUGACUCACACAAGAAAAAAACAUAUACUAGAUAACUUUGAAUGAACUCGUACAGCUUUGAAGUAAGUAAACAGUGCAGCCUCAUUCUCCUCAAAUCUAAAAAUUCCAUCAUUAAAUUUGUAAUCUGACCUUUUUGAAUUCUUAUCAUGAUAUAACAGUUGAAGAAUGCAACUUUUUUUGGUGGUGGGUUUCCUCCAGAGAUUAUCACAUAAGAAUAGAAGCACAGCAUUGCAGCACUGAUGACAGCAUAAAACCCUGUUGGAAUUAAUUUCUUUGUCAAUGAAUAUGCUUGAAAAUUCUUCCACAAAAGGGCUGCUGAGAGUACAGCUUGUCCUAGCACAAAUGGCACACUAGACUUUCCUUGCCUCCAUAUCUUCAAGCUAAAGAUGCUAAGGGCUAGCAAAGCGCCUCCAAAUAAAACACCCGUGCUUAGGGUUGUAGGAUUUCUAGAAAAUACAAAACCAAGAAGGCCCCCACUUAGAACAAGACCACCAUAAGGGAUCCCAAAACAGAAGUCGUGGAUUUUUGCUGCGCCAUAUGCCUUUCCUGGAUCUGUAAUUCCUUUUUCUUCUAAACCAUGAGGUUCUGCUGGCCCUUCCACGUAUGGUUUCGAUUCAUCAGCGGUAUAACUAAGCCUAGUUUUGAUCUCUGAACUAGAAUUUUCGGUACCUCGUGCUCCUUCAAGGCUCAUAGCAAUCCAUAACUUGGAUCUAGUAGAAAGAGGAGAUGAUUGACGAUAGAGCUGCAGGUUGCGGUUGAUUGAAGAGAAGCACGACAGCUGAGAAACUGUGGGUGCUACUGCUGCCAUGGUUGAGAUCGGGAUCACAGGGGCUAGGCCACUAGGGCAUGAGGCUUUGCGUUGACUAUAAAUAAAAUGGGGUUUAAUUAAAGCUGAAAAUUCCAACUUACUUUAUAAAAGGUAGUUGUUAAUUAAAUGAUUUUGUCAAUUAUAAUAUAUAAUAGGAUAAUUUUUGCGUAUGCAGAUGCGAAUAUGAUAUUCGAUGAAAUGCUUGAAAGGGUUAUGGAUUGUUUACGGUGAUUGUUUAUGAGAUUUAUGAAAUUGGGACACUGAAAAGAAG
RNAcentral lists this unclassified non-coding RNA (1253 nucleotides) under Hevea brasiliensis (rubber tree). Lineage: Eukaryota; Viridiplantae; Streptophyta; Magnoliopsida; Malpighiales; Euphorbiaceae. The record is from RNAcentral.